CUCUUCUCUGAGGUUACAGCCCAUACUGGGGACAAGACGGGGUGUCACAGGGACCUUUGGAAAACAUCGCCACAGUCCAAAGCAGGGGUGGGUUUCCCAUUGGAAAGGAUGCAAAGGCACCCCUGACUGGCCAUGGUCCUGUCCCUUUAAAUUGUCACCCUCCCUUCCUGGGCUCUGAGCUCUGAGAGGCUCUGACACUUCCUCCCCACGCUGGGAGGAGCAUUCUUCUGCACUCACAACCGGAGGGAAAGCACUAGGCCAGGGGCCUCUCCAGCCAACCUCAGAGCCUGUCACCACUGCUGCGGGAAAGGCCAACCACCCUAAGGUAGUCCCCAAGUCACUGAGCAAAUUUUUGGAUUCUCAGCAUUUUCCGAAGUCUCCCCUGGCUGUGGAAUCUCCUGGGAAAACUCAGAAGCUCCAGCUUAUGUCACUGACACAGAACUACCUGGGAACAUUAGCAUUGAGCUCACUCUGACACAGGGACGUGCUAUCAUCUCCCCUCUGGUGUUUGUGUUCAGAGUCCCUGAAAGGUCACCAAACGUUCUCCUGGUGUCGUUCCAACACCAGUCAGGUCCUUCCAGGGUUCUUCCCUAUGUGCUGAUGUUCAGGGGAAGGCAGGAGCCAUGACCUUUGCACUGUGGUGCCACCAACUCUUUGGACCUUGCCUGACCCAUCGAAGGCAAGCAUGGGAGGACGGAAGAUGGCAAGAGAUGAAGAAAACACCUAUGGUAAGAAUUUCCUCACUGUGUGUACUUGGCCCCAGGUGUCAGCUCUGGGGAACAAGGUGAUGAGCUAACACAAGACGGAACAAAUUCCAGGGGCGUCUUCUCCAGCUGAGCUCAGCAGCUCCAGUCAGCACCUUCUCCGAGAGCGGAAGUCCUCGGCCCCGUCGCACUCCAGCCAGCCCACCCUGUUCACCUUUGAGCCCCCGGUGUCAAACCACAUGCAGCCCGCCUUGUCCACCAGUGCGCCUCAGGAGUAUCUCUACUUGCAUCAGUGCGUCAGCCGGAGAGCGGAGAACGCCAGGUAACCUUCACAUGGUACUGGUGUCAGCUGUGCUGCUACAGAGUGGUGAUCAGAUUCCAGAGGAACCUCCCAUUAUCAGAAAUCACGCUAUAAAAAUGUUUAAUCUGGGGGGAAAAGGCAUUAGGGACUAGAGUUUCAGAAUUGGGAAAAAAAACCCGUCAAUUUACUUGUUGGCAAUAAGAGUAUAGCUAUAAAGUCUUACAGUAUUGAACAAAUCCAUAUCUCACUUUUGCUGUAGAGCAGCCCUGUUCUGUGUGGUCGUGAACUAUCCACAGGUGGCUAUUUAAAUUUGAAUGGGUUCAAAUAAGAUAAAACUUAAAUUGAAGUUCCUCAGUUGCACUGGCCACAUUUCAAGUGCUCAGUCGCCACGUGUGGCUAGUGGCUACCCUCUCAGCACAGGUAAGGAAACAUUUCAUCACCACGGAAGGUUCUAGAACAAGGACUCUCUGCUCUAGAAUAAUAGUCUAUGUAUUUCUGACACCACUAGUUCUCUCACAGGUGCCGAGCGUAUACAUAUUUUUACUACCGUUUAUUCUGGUUGUUAGGGUAACAAAAGCACAGAGGUGAUGGGCUUUACCAGAGCUAGUCCCCAGUUGCUAAUCCUGGCCAGCAGAGGACCAAUCACGUGUCUCAGUUCAUUUAGAAACACCGAAUUUGUGUUAUGAAAACUAAGGCAGGUAGAGAACUCACUGUAUUAUGUAUUACAUCAUAGAACAUUUUCAAGCAGAAUCUUACUCGAACCAGUCAAAUGCACUGAGAGACAGCCGAUACAGAUCAUUCUGUCCGUCUCCUAGAUGAGGACAGUGAGGCUCCCAGCUAUGGCGUGACAGAGGCAGGACUAGAGCCCAGGGCUGCUCGGCUCCGGUCCUGCACUCCACACUGCGUCACCCUGCUGCCGGGACCAUGACACGGCUCGCGCUGCCUGCGCUCUGUCUUAAGGUGGCCUCAAAUACCCAUUUUCCUGACGCCUCGGGAUUCCUUUGUUUAUGAACUUCCACGAGUUCAAACUCCAUCAACUUAGACGGAAAGAGCUGAGCUCAGAAACAAGGUGGGAUGAAUGAGCCGAGAUGACAGAAUGAGUUCGCGGCCGCGCCGUAAACAGCCCCGAUGCCCCUGGCUCCCACGCCUCCGGCAGGCAGGAUGCGGAGGCUAGAAGCGUGUACAGGCUUGGGAGUCCGGCAGGUGCGGGUCCAGAUUCAGGUUCUGCCACUUUCUUUGUGAUCUCAGGCCGCUUACUGAACCUCGUUGAGCUUCCAUUUCCUGACCUGUAGAAUGGAAAGGGCUCCUCCUAAGGCUCCCUGAUGAGCAGAGUGACAGGAGCACAUCCGAGUACUUCUGAGCGUUUGUUCUCCUUGUGCCCCACCCCCACUUCACGUGACCUGGCCUCGGAGUAGAGAAGGUGAGGUCUUAAAAUCAUCAUUCUCUUGAAAGUGGACUUUCUAUUAAUGCCUCUCACCCUUAAGGUGCCUAUGAAAUAUCUAGGGAUCUGGUUAAAAUGCCGAUUCUGAAUCAGUAGGCCUGCAGCGGGUCCCGAGAUCCUGCCUUUCUGCUCACUUCCAGGGCUUGCCUUCGGAUCACACUUGAAGUAGAAGGCUUUAUAUAAUACUAACAGCUACCACCACCUCCACUCCCAUGCGGCUGUGAGAGCAGCAGGGAACAGAUGUGUAAAUGUGUCUGCUUGAAUUAGCAGUUAGGGCCCACUCUCUGCACCCCCUCCUCCUCGGUAAAGCCUCUGUUAAUCUGCCUAGCUGAGACCCACAUCUCUGAAUUCCCACAGCAGUUUUUUAUUCUCUCUCGCACGUUUGGCACGCUCUGCUUCAUAGUGUGGACACUUAUAUUAAUAUAUUACUGCCCUUCAAAGACAGGACCAAAGGCAUAUAGUAGGUACAUAAAAAAUAUCCAAACGCAUCUGUGUUACAGAGAGAGAGCAUAACAGGGGAGACAAAACGGAUCUGCAGUUGGGGAAGCAGCCUUAGUGUGGGGCCCUGAGCAAGCUGUGCUUUUCUCUGUGUCUUUGCUUUCACUUGUGGGGGUGUGGGAGCAGGGGAGUGAGGAGAAGGAGCCGGGAGAUUUUUGGAAAAAAUAAGUUCAAACAACAUUAACAGAAUUCCCAAGUGAUGGAGGUUGGGAAGGAAGCUUUCUUUGGGCCAGAAACACCAUAUAAUUUCUAGAGGUAUUGGAGUAGUUUGCAUGAUACUAAACAUACUGUAACAAUUAUAAACUCUGGGCACAACAUAAAAAAACAACUGUUUGAAGGCACUGAAGAGCAAUCACAAGGCAGGCAGAAACUGAAAGAGAUUUAACUCUUAAACGGAGCUGGGGGGGGAAGGGGCGCCUGGGUGGCUCAGUCGUUAAGCUUCUGCCUUUGGCUCAGGGCGUGAUCCCAGGGUCCUGGGAUCGAGCCCCACAUGGGGAUCCCUGCUCCCCUGGGAGCCUGCUUCUCCAUCUCCCUCUCCCCUGCUUGUGUUCCCUCUCUCACUGGCUGUAUCUCUCUCUCUAUCAAAUAAAUAAAUAAAAUCUUUUAAAAAAAUAAAAUAA
This 3564-nucleotide long non-coding RNA is filed under the name Ursus maritimus (polar bear). Its description in RNAcentral is "lncRNA (ENSUMAG00000011028.1)". The record is from RNAcentral. Lineage: Eukaryota; Metazoa; Chordata; Mammalia; Carnivora; Ursidae.